GCCUUUGUCGUUGUUGUUGUUGUUGUUGUUGUUGUUGUGUAUUGUGAGGUUCUUGUUGCUAUUUUAAGGGUAUUGUUCAUAAACUGUUUUUGUAUUUUUUAUUUUCUUUGAUUCUAGUUUUCCCUUUGCUGCUCACUGUUUCUUGUUUUAUUUUUUACACAUUUACUUAAAGAGAAAUUUAUUCAAAUUUUACACCGAAAAAGUAUCAUAUGUACAUACAAACAAACAUACUUUGUAAAUGCAGUUUUUAUUUUUAUUGUUGUUUUUUUUUUAAUUUUGUUUCAAUAGUAAUUUCACUGUAGUCAAAUUUCGCAAAUUCACUUCCAACGAAUCAGUACAAUUACCUCAGCGGCUGAUGAUCAGAACACGUUUAGCAUUUGCAUUAAUUAAUAAUUUAUUUAUUUAAUUUUUUUUUAUUUUUUUCAACAACGCAAUCCGUAUUGAUGACAGAGAUAUGUAUGUAUGUAUUUACGAGUAUUUUUCGUUUUUGAUUGUGAUUUUUUUUUUUUUUUUUUUGACCGUUAACUGCGAAAUAACAGCGAGCUAGCAGCAAAUUCAACUUUCCGCUGUCUUAUUAUAACUAAGACUUACGACAAGUAUCGUUCCACGUCGCAAAGCCAACUGAGAGCUGGAGAAGAUGCAGCUUCUUCAUAUGUCUACGCAAAAAUCUUUUGAGUCACGCUUUGAAAUUCCCCUCUCCGAACACAGUUUGCGUAAUAUUUCUUUGCUUAAGCUUGAUUUUAGUGAAAUUCUCAAAAUAAUUAGUAUUUGUUGUUAUUUACUUGGCACAUCAAUUAACUAUGUUUUAAGAGAAGGCGCUCAGCUUAUUUCUCUUUCAAUGUAAUGCGGAGAUUUAAGUAAAUAUUGGUAGAGUAGAUUGCUCUUAUCACGAGUAAAAAAAAAAAAAAAACACGAGGACGCUACACAAUUGUGAGCUGAUAAAUGUGGAUUUAAGGCAUCGAAGUUCAUUUUUCUCAAGGCUUCCCUAUCAAUUUGCCCGACGCUGCUUUUUUAAAUACUCAUCUUUAUCUUUAUUAUACCGGUCAACGAAUAUACAUACAUACAUAUUUCGUUAAUUUGCCUCCUUGCAAACUUUACCGAUUUUACAUUUUUCCAAUUCUGUGUCCAAAACGUAAAAGAGGAAGCCAUUACAACUUAUGCCGUAAAACAAUAUUUCGAGCAACAACAACUAGUACGCAUGCCGUACUAAAGGUGUCAAAGAGGACAGGAUAAUACUCGAAACGAAUGUGUCAAAACCAAGGGAAACGGAGUAACACUCGUGAGAGGAACCAGCCCAGGCGAAUUCUCGGCAAAUGAACGUAUGACACCAGUCCCAAAAGUUGUGUCAAAAAUUUG
This is a long non-coding RNA of Rhagoletis zephyria (snowberry fruit fly), 1356 nucleotides long. RefSeq lists it as uncharacterized. The record is from RefSeq and is a predicted model, not a curated record. NCBI's taxonomy places the organism in Eukaryota, Metazoa, Arthropoda, Insecta, Diptera, Tephritidae.